CACGGUAGGAUUCGUGACUGGGGUGAAGUCGUAACAAGGUAGCCGUAUCGGAAGGUGCGGCUGGAUCACCUCCUUUCUAGA
RNAcentral lists this ribosomal RNA (81 nucleotides) under Duganella sp. CY15W. RNAcentral describes it as "partial 16S ribosomal RNA". It matches the Rfam family "Bacterial small subunit ribosomal RNA", at positions 1458 to 1533 of the family's 1533-position model. Lineage: Bacteria; Pseudomonadati; Pseudomonadota; Betaproteobacteria; Burkholderiales; Oxalobacteraceae. The record is from RNAcentral.